Molecule: ribosomal RNA, 482 nt
Filed under: uncultured bacterium
Lineage: Bacteria
Description: partial 16S ribosomal RNA
Rfam family: Bacterial small subunit ribosomal RNA
Source: RNAcentral
AUUGAACGCUGGCGGCAUGCCUUACACAUGCAAGUCGAACGGUAACGGGCCUUCGGGUGCCGACGAGUGGCGAACGGGUGAGUAAUACAUCGGAACGUGCCCGAUCGUGGGGGAUAACGAGGCGAAAGCUUUGCUAAUACCGCAUACGAUCUACGGAUGAAAGCAGGGGACCGCAAGGCCUUGCGCGGACGGAGCGGCCGAUGGCAGAUUAGGUAGUUGGUGGGAUAAAAGCUUACCAAGCCGACGAUCUGUAGCUGGUCUGAGAGGAUGAUCAGCCACACUGGCACUGAGACACGGCCCAGACUCCUACGGGAGGCAGCAGUGGGGAAUAUUGGACAAUGGGCGCAAGCCUGAUCCAGCCAUGCCGCGUGCAGGAUGAAGGCCUUCGGGUUGUAAACUGCUUUUGUACGGAACGAAAAGCCUUCUUUUAAUACAGGAGGGUCAUGACGGUACCGUAAGAAUAAGCACCGGCUAACUACGUG